RNAcentral lists this ribosomal RNA (843 nucleotides) under uncultured archaeon. RNAcentral's name for it is "bacterial SSU rRNA". It matches the Rfam family "Archaeal small subunit ribosomal RNA", at positions 52 to 901 of the family's 1478-position model. The record is from RNAcentral.
UGCGAGUCAUUGUAGCAAUACAAGGCAGACGGCUCAGUAACGCGUAGUCAAUCUACCCUAUGGACGGGAAUAACCUCGGGAAACUGAGAAUAAUGCCCGACAGAACAUUAUACCUGGAACGGUUUAUGUUUCAAAUGAUUUAUCGCCGUAGGAUGGGACUGCGGCCUAUCAGUUUGUUGGUGAGGUAAUGGCCCACCAAGACUAUUACAGGUACGGGCUCUGAGAGGAGUAGCCCGGAGAUGGGUACUGAGACACGGACCCAGGCCCUAUGGGGCGCAGCAGGCGAGAAAACUUUGCAAUGUGCGAAAGCACGACAAGGUUAAUCCGAGUGGUUUCUGCUAAAGAAACCUUUUGCUAGUCCUAGAAACACUAGUGAAUAAGGGGUGGGCAAGUUCUGGUGUCAGCCGCCGCGGUAAAACUAGCACCUCAAGUGGUCAGGAUGAUUAUUGGGCCUAAAGCAUCCGUAGCUCGUUUUGUAAGUUUUCGGUUAAAUCCAUACGCUUAACGUAUGGGCUGCCGGGAAUACUGCAUAACUAGGAAGUGGGAGAGGUAGACGGUACUCGGUAGGAAGGGGUAAAAUCCUUUGAUCUAUUGAUGACCACCCGUGGCGAAGGCGGUCUACCAGAACACGUUCGACGGUGAGGGAUGAAAGCUGGGGGAGCAAACCGGAUUAGAUACCCGGGUAGUCCCAGCUGUAAACUAUGCAAACUCAGUGAUGCAUUGGCUUGUGGCCAAUGCAGUGCUGCAGGGAAGCCGUUAAGUUUGCCGCCUGGGAAGUACGUACGCAAGUAUGAAACUUAAAGGAAUUGGCGGGGGAGCACCACAAGGGGUGAAGCCUGCGGU